UACGUAGGGUGCGAGCGUUAAUCGGAAUUACUGGGCGUAAAGCGUGCGCAGGCGGUUCGUUGUGUCGGCGGUGAAAGCCCCGGGCUUAACCUGGGAAUGGCCGUUGAAACUGGCGAACUGGAGUGUGGCAGAGGGGGGGUAGAAUUCCACGUGUAGCAGUGAAAUGCGUAGAGAUGUGGAGGAACACCGAUGGCGAAGGCAGCCCCCUGGGUCAAGAUUGACGCUCAUGCACGAAAGCGUGGGGAGCAAACAGG
This 254-nucleotide ribosomal RNA is filed under the name uncultured bacterium. RNAcentral's name for it is "partial 16S ribosomal RNA". It matches the Rfam family "Bacterial small subunit ribosomal RNA", at positions 524 to 776 of the family's 1533-position model. The record is from RNAcentral.